GGGCUGCAGUGGGGAAUUUUGCGCAAUGGGCGGAAGCCUGACGCAGCAAUACCGCGUGAGUGAAGAAGGCCCUUGGGUCGUAAAGCUCUUUUCUGGGGGAAGAUAGUGACGGUACCCCAGGAAUAAGCACCGGCUAACUCCGUGCCAGCAGCCGCGGUAAUACGGAGGGUGCAAGCGUUGUUCGGAUUUACUGGGCGUAAAGGGCACGUAGGCGGCAUAGUAAGUUAAGGGUGAAAUCCCGGGGCUCAACUCCGGAACUGCUCUUAAAACUGCUGAGCUAGAGAUAGUCAGAGGCGGGUAGAAUUCCUGGUGUAGAGGUGAAAUUCGUAGAUAUCAGGAGGAAUACCGGUGGCGAAGGCGGCCCGCUGGGGCUAUUCUGACGCUAAGGUGCGAAAGCGUGGGGAGCAAACGGGAUUAGAUACCCGGGUAGUC
This 432-nucleotide ribosomal RNA is filed under the name uncultured SAR324 cluster bacterium. RNAcentral describes it as "bacterial SSU rRNA". It matches the Rfam family "Bacterial small subunit ribosomal RNA", at positions 346 to 795 of the family's 1533-position model. The record is from RNAcentral. Lineage: Bacteria; Deltaproteobacteria.